GCGCGGUUAGCUCAGUGGUAGAGCGUCUCGUUGACGUCGAGAAGGUCGAAGGUCCAAUCCCUUCACCGCGCACCA
This 75-nucleotide transfer RNA is filed under the name Candidatus Kaiserbacteria bacterium. RNAcentral describes it as "tRNA-Val". It matches the Rfam family "tRNA". From Rfam's summary of the family: Transfer RNA (tRNA) molecules are approximately 80 nucleotides in length. Their secondary structure includes four short double-helical elements and three loops (D, anti-codon, and T loops). The record is from RNAcentral. Lineage: Bacteria; Candidatus Kaiseribacteriota.